RNAcentral lists this long non-coding RNA (1119 nucleotides) under Felis catus (domestic cat). Its description in RNAcentral is "lncRNA (ENSFCAG00000041972.2)". The record is from RNAcentral. Lineage: Eukaryota; Metazoa; Chordata; Mammalia; Carnivora; Felidae.
CCGGCUGCCGCCGCGGCUGCUCGAGCUGGUGCAGCUGGGCGAGCUCGUGCGGGCGCCGCCGCCGCCGCCGCCGCCGCCGCCGCCGCCUCCGCUGCUGCCCACCCCGCCGCGCCGCCGGCGCUGCCGGUCCUGCAGGCGGCCGCCGGGGAGGGGCGGCCGAGAGAACAGAGCACGAGGAGGCGGAGGCGGCGGAGAAGUGAUGCUGGCACCGGGGAUCCGGGCAGCGGCAGCGGAGCAGCAGCAUCUCCGGGACCUCGGCUGCAGCGUCCCUGUGGCCCGCGGGCCAGCCAAGCGGCGGGAGACCUCGCGCCCCUCGGAGCUGGUAGAGACGCUUCAAGAACUGCUCAGUCCCGGAGUGGAGGGAUUAUGUGAAGACCCCAGUGCUUUACCCUGAGACCAAGUGCAGAGGUUUUCAUUAUAGGGGGAAUUCAUGAGGCAGCAGAUCCAAAAGCAAGAUCACCACAUAGAGUUGUGUAGUUUGCGUGUUGCACAGAAGUGCUCUGCCAAAAAAAACAGGAAGAGAUGAAGAAGAGGCAUUGGUUGGCUCUCUAUGCAGUGUGCUCUGGGGACAUCUGCAUUCUCCUGGAAGAGGGAACAUUUUUUUUGGCACAAAGUCAUCUUGUUCCUGACAGGCUGCCGAUCACCCAGAUGAGGUAUCUUUUUCUAAUUCAACUGUGCAGAGAGGGUUCUUUUUUCUAAAUUCAUUCAAGACACCAUAUGAGCUAACAGUGGCCCUACUAAGAUCAGAGGGGACUUGGGCCAGGCUAAAGCAGAUAUAUUAGAAGUAGUUCUAUGCCUCCCCAGUGUGCAGGUCUGGGAACACACUGGAAGGGAUGCUGGAGAAGGGUUCUUAAGUCCCCAAGCUGCAUCCUUAUAUUAAAAUUUUGCUAUUUUAGGGGCACCUGGGUGGCUCAGUCAGUUAAGCGUCCGACUUCAGCCAGGUCAUGAUCUCGCGGCCCGUGGGUUCGAGCCCCGCGUCAGGCUCUGGGCUGAUGGUUCAGAGCCUGGAGCCUGUUUCCGAUUCUGUGUCUCCCUCUCUCUCUGCCCCUCCCCCGUUCAUGCUCUGUCUCUCUCUGUCCCAAAAAUAAAUAAAUGUUGAAAAAAAAUUAAAAAAAAUAA